This is a long non-coding RNA of Vicia villosa (hairy vetch), 2787 nucleotides long. RefSeq lists it as uncharacterized. The record is from RefSeq and is a predicted model, not a curated record. Lineage: Eukaryota; Viridiplantae; Streptophyta; Magnoliopsida; Fabales; Fabaceae. The transcript has 3 exons.
UAUGUAUACUUUCAUUUCACUCAAAUGGUUCACCAUAUGGAUAACAUCAUAGCUUUCAAUUGAAUUCUGUGUUAGAGAAAACAUCAAAUUCAUUAUAUACAUAACAUCAUAGCUUUCAAUUGAAUUCUGUGUUAGAGAAAACAUCAAAUAAUAGAUUGCCAAAUUGUGUUUGUAUCUCAUUCAUAUACGCAAAUUUCACCCAUUUUCCCAAUCAAAGGGAAAAAGGAAAAUAUUUACAAGAUGCCUAUAUUCUACAAAAUCUCAAUACUAAUCUAUGUUACUCUCUUGCAGUUGCACAUUUAUAGACCAUUCAAGCUACAAGUAAUAUGCAAGAAACACAUGUUCCGUGCAAGGAAUUGUGACACCGCCCAUUCGAUGAUCAUAUCUGAAUUCUUCUUUUAAUGAUGAUGUUUGGCUAUUGCUAAAUGAUGCCCGUCUUAUAGCUGCAGGUAAACGGAAACCCAUUUCAAAUGUUUUGAACAACAAACAAUCUAAAGCUCUCAAAAUUUAUGGGAAAAAAAAGGUAUCUAUCUUUUGAUGCUUGAGUAAGUAAGUGAUUUGUGAAUGUGAUGGAUGUGAAGGAAAGUUGUGUAUUUUUAUAGUCUUCAUUCGAGAGUUUCUUGAAAUCCUCUUCUCUGUGAAAUUAAUUAUUGUUAAAGAAUGGUGUCCAUGAGAUGAGAGAUCCACAUGCUAUUGUCUUUUAAUGUCUCUCCAUCACUUUCUCAAUAAAAGGAUUAACCACUUGGAAGUCAAUUUGCUACUCAUACUUUUGUAGACAUGUCACAUGUUCUCUUCAUAUCGAUAAUGCGCUUCAAUACCCGUAUAUAGCUACCCACCAAUAAUUCUCUUGUUAGCGUGUAUUAUAAUGGUUAGUUGGCUACAAAUCUUCAAUAUUAGGGAGGCUACAUUGAACACAUAUAGAGGGCUUGGUCAUUAGUCAUGCUGCUGACCAGAAGGUACAUAGCAAUUGAACAACAGUUCCAAAAAGAGAUAAGUAUAUGUUUGGAGUUUGGACCCACAACUACCAGUAACAAAAAUAUGCUAUUCUGAAUAUUCAAUUUCAAGUCAACAGUCCUAUAUAUCUGCAGUCUUCUGAAUAUGUCUAGCAGCAACUCCGCUGUCCAAUGAUUUGUUUUCUGCAUAUAAGAAUAAUUAGCCAGUAGAACCUUCUUAAUUCAUGAAAUUCUCUUAGGAAUAAUUAGCUUGUAGGAUAAGGCACGACGUUUUUUCCUACUCAAGUAUCAGGAGCCAUGAAUAAGUGCCAAACUAGGUUACUGCUGCUUUCAAGUAUCAGACCAUGUCAAGUUCUCCGUUUAAAACCGAUAAGAUAUACAAGGAAACAGCAGGCUAAUCAAGAGAUCAUUGCAUAGACUGGACGAGUUUCUAGCCUUUAGGAACUUUCAAAUUUCUAAAUGAGAUGAGAUUAUUUGAUACUUGAAAUUCAUGUUUUACUACUAUUCUUUUUGUAGAUUAUGGCUGUUAGUGGGAGACUUUUCAUAAUUUGAUGGGAUUGGCUUCUGUUUUAAAAUCUAACUAAUUGUGUGUCUAUGAUAUUAAUACAUGCUAUGUGCAGACUCUAUUUAGUCAUGCAGCAGACUCUGUUUAGUCAUGCAGUUCAGCCCCCGAAACAUGUGAGCUGAAACUUUUAUUGUCUAGUUAGUCUCUUCACUAAAAGUAUAUUUUUAAUUUAAGUGAAUACUCCAAUGCAAGCAGUUCAUGUCUUCAUGAUAAUCUUUUGAUUAGAAAAAUACAUAAUAAUAUACACUUUUAUGAAUGGUGGAGGAUGCUAGGAGCUUAAAGUAAAGGGUUGCCUCUAACUGAGUGCAUCUGCUGAUUGAGUACACAUGAAGGUCCUUGCGAUUUCCGUCUCUACCACCUUCGUUAAACAUCAAAGGAAAAAUGCAACAUACAAAAUUAUUGAUUAUAGCUGAACCCAGAGAACUGGCAGUGGGAGACUUUCCAAAAUUGGGUUAAGAAGUGGAUCUAUUGCACAUUGAAGCGAGAAGUAAUAUGCAAGAAAACAUCUUCCGUGCAAGAAAUUGUGAGGCCGCCCAUUGGAUGAUCAUAUCCAAACUCCUCCUCUGCUUGACUCAGUAAGUUUUGAAAUGAAGUUUGGUUCAAAUAUGACACGGGGAUAACAAACCGCUUCCUUUCCUCUCCGAUGUACACUGCAAGAUACCCCUUUGGCACAUUCAAUGCUUUUGAGGAUGUUUGGAUACUGCUAGGUGAUGACCGUCUAAUAGCUGCAGGUAAACGAAAACCCAUAUCAAAUGUUUUGAAGAAAAAACUGAAUUUCUCAGAUGUAAGAAAAAUGUAUCUGUGUUUGAUUGCUUGAGUGAUUUGUGAUGGUUUUGAGGAGGACACUAUAUUUAUAGUUUCCAAGAGUUUCUUGAAAUACCUUUGCUAGAGAAAUUAUUUAGUUAAUGAUGGGGGCCAUGAGAUGAGAGAUCACAUGGUGUUGUCUUAGACGCCUUUGUCAAAGAUCGACUAGUUCGAUAGAGUGCCAACCACUCCUUCUUAAUGAAAGGCUCAUAACUCAAUGCUUGUAUGAUGCCUACUCAUUUCUUUUCAGACAUGCAUCAAACAUGGCACAUGUUAUCUUCACAUUUGAUCACAUAAUGUUGAUAUCUUAAGUGAAGAAUUUUGAGAAAUAUCAUCCAUAAACUAAAAAACUAUUUAUGAAUUGUGAAUAUUUAUUGUUCUUGACUUAGUUCUUAGUUGGAAACUAUAGUUCUCAAGAGACCACAUGAUAGUGUCUAGAGGUCUUUGAGAAUGUAAUUACAUGUA